CCUAACUCUUGAUUACUCCAUUGUCCAUUCCUUUGAAGAAGAAAAAAUCCCCUUUCCUCAAAUUCACGACACAAUUGACAGAGAGGAAAGCAGAGGCAGCUGGGUCUCCUCCGCCACGAAAGCUCGAGAUUGAAGGCUUCCUCACCAACGCCUGGUACAAGGUCCGCUUUUCUGAACACCACUACUCAGCGCUCAGGCUUUAAGUUAUUCGUACAAUGCAUUGAGCUAUGACUAUUAGCUGGCAUUGAAGAACUAUUGAAUGGUCUGGAAGCUGCUUGACGUAGUGAUUGGAAGCUAUCUUGGAACCGGCUGAACAAUUUGUUGAAUGCAUUUGAAGUAGCUUCACUAAUUGAUUGGAGAAUCUGUGAGUCAUAAAGUGAUAGCAGAGAUGUGCAUACCCAUAAAACGAGGAUGGGCAAUCCUAAAACGAGGACGAGCAAUCCAAAGGGAGGUACAAUAAUCCGUAGCAGCAAGCCACAAGCUAAAACUCCAAAAAUGAUACACACAUGCCUAAGUAUAGGGAGGUAUCUUGUGUUGGGAGUCAGUUGGGUUAUCACCGCCAAUGCUGUAGUGUAAAAAAAUACGGCUAUGACAAAAGCCGACAUAAUUGCACCGUGCAUUUGAAAUGGGUCGCUAGAGCUUUGACCCCUGACUUGGAGGAGGGUAACCAGCAAUAUUAUGAGAAAGUCAACAGCAGUAUGGAUUGCAAUGGAGGAAUGGAGUUCUAGUUGACUGCCACAAAUAGAAGAACAUGGAAUUGCCUCAGAUUAGAUGCAGUUGAAGAGUUAGCACGAGGGAAUUAAGCAAAUAUCCAUGACAUUACAUUUGUCAACUAGAAUUUUUGCUUUUAAUGAGAUUAAUGCACUUAAAAAAUUUACAGUUGAGUCUUUCAAUAUUGUAUCAAAGACUUCAAAUCAAAUCUAUUAAUGUUAACCUUUUCUUUUGUUCCUAUGCUUACAUCUAAUAUUCUUCUAGAACAAAAUAAAGAGAAGUUAUCUGAUUUUA
Long non-coding RNA from Quercus robur (English oak), 1005 nucleotides. RefSeq lists it as uncharacterized. Lineage: Eukaryota; Viridiplantae; Streptophyta; Magnoliopsida; Fagales; Fagaceae. The transcript is spliced from 2 exons. The record is from RefSeq and is a predicted model, not a curated record.